UCUCAGUUCGGAUUGGAGUCUGCAACCCGACUCCAUGAAGCUGGAUUCGCUAGUAAUCGCGCAUCAGCCACGGCGCGGUGAAUACGUUCCCGGGCCUUGUACACACCGCCCGUCAAGCCAUGGAAGCCGGGAGUGCCUGAAGUGCGCUGCCGCGAGGAGCGCCCUAGGGUAAAACCGGUGACUGGGGCUAAGUCGUAACAAGGUAAC
Molecule: ribosomal RNA, 207 nt
Filed under: uncultured bacterium
Lineage: Bacteria
Description: partial 16S ribosomal RNA
Rfam family: Bacterial small subunit ribosomal RNA
Source: RNAcentral